CUACGGGCCGCAGCAGUGGGGAAUAUUGCACAAUGAGCGCAGGCCUGAUGCAGCCAUGCCGCGUGUAUGAAGAAGGCCUUCGGGUUGUAAAGUACUUUCAGCGGGGAGGAAGGGAGUAAAGUUAAUACCUUUGCUCAUUGACGUUACCCGCAGAAGAAGCACCGGCUAACUCCGUGCCAGCAGCCGCGGUAAUACGGAGGGUGCAAGCGUUAAUCGGAAUUACUGGGCGUAAAGCGCACGCAGGCGGAUUGUUAAGUCAGAUGUGAAAUCCCCGGGCUCAACCUGGGAACUGCAUCUGAUACUGGCAAGCUUGAGUCUCGUAGAGGGGGGUAGAAUUCCAGGUGUAGCGGUGAAAUGCGUAGAGAUCUGGAGGAAUACCGGUGGCGAAGGCGGCCCCCUGGACGAAGACUGACGCUCAGGUGCGAAAGCGUGGGGAGCAAACAGGAUUAGAUACCCUCGUAGUC
Molecule: ribosomal RNA, 464 nt
Filed under: uncultured bacterium
Lineage: Bacteria
Description: partial 16S ribosomal RNA
Rfam family: Bacterial small subunit ribosomal RNA
Source: RNAcentral